CACAGAAUUUUGGUGCCCGUGAUUUACAUUAACCAUCCACUGUUUGGCGAGCUAUUGAGAGAAGCAGAAUAUGAGUAUGGGUUCAAUCAACAAGGUGGGAUCACGAUUCCCUGCCGAUAUUCGGAGUUUGAGAGCGUCCAAACCCGGAUCGCAUCAGUGUCGGGUGGGCGUAAGCUGGAGUGGAAACGCAGCCAUGAUUGAGAUGGUUUAUCAGAUGAUGACGAUAAUAUGCGUAGGUGAUGGUGAUUUUUAUAAUUUUUAACAAUGUAAUAUAUACAUCACCAUCACCUACGCAUAUUAUCGU
RNAcentral lists this unclassified non-coding RNA (304 nucleotides) under Hevea brasiliensis (rubber tree). Lineage: Eukaryota; Viridiplantae; Streptophyta; Magnoliopsida; Malpighiales; Euphorbiaceae. The record is from RNAcentral.